GCCUAAAUACUAAUCAUUUACCGAUAGUGAACAAGUACUGUGAAGGAAAGAUGAAAAGAACCCAGAUAUGGGAGUGAAAUAGAACAUGAAAUUACUAGCCUACAAAGUGUCAAAGCACAUUCAUGUGUAAUGGCGUGCGUUUUGAAGUAUGAGCCGGAGAGUUAUUGCAAGUUGCAAAGUUAAACAAAAAGUGGAGCUGAAGCGAAAGCGAGUCUGAAUAGGGCGUUUUAGUAGGUUGCAAUAGACCCGAAAGGGGACGAGCUAGCCAUGAGCAGGUUGAAAUUUGAAUAACAUCAGAUGAAGGACUGAACCGACUGUCGUUGAAAUGAUAGCGGAUGACUUGUGGCUAGAGGUGAAAUUCCAAUCGAGUUCCCUGAUAGCUGGUUUUUGUCGAUAUAGUUUUAGGACUAGCGUCAGGCAAAAUAUUAGGUGGAGGUAAAGCACUAAAUCUAUAAGGGCAUCUCGCGAUGUACCAAAUAGAAUUAAACUCUGAAUUCCAUCUAAUUUAUCCUGGCAGUGAGACUAUUUGGGAUAAGCUUUAUAGUCGUAAGGGAAAGAGCCCAGACCAACAAAUAAGGUCCCUAAAUUAAGCUAAGUGGAAAAGGAAGUCAAAAUUCAUAAACAACUAGGAUGUUGGCUUAGAAGCAGCCAUCAUUUAAAGAGUGCGUAACAGCUCACUAGUCUAGUUUUUUGGCGCCGCAAGUAUAACGGGGCUAAGCUUAAUACCGAAUUUUUGGAUUUAUAUUUUCUAAAUGUAAGUGGUAGACAAAUGUUGUAUAAGGCUUGAAGUUUGAGCGAAAGUACGAAUGGACUUUAUACAAGUAAGAAUUCCGGCGUGAGUAACGAAUGAAAGUGAGAAUCUUUCUAGCCGAUUGAUUAAGGUUUCCGGGGCUAGGUUCGUCCUCCUCGGGUUAGUCGAUCCUAAGGUGAGGUCGAAAGACGUAAUUGAUGGACAACAGGUUAAUAUUCCUGUACUACCUUGGAUAUUUGAUGGGCCGACAAAAGAGGUUGAGGUAAGAGGAUUAAUGGAUUUCCUUACAAGAUUUCGAGCAAGUUAGGGAUGAAAACCACCCUAGCAUAAUUGUGAGAGUCGAUAUCAAUUCUUGAUAGCAAUAUCUAGAAAAGUUACUAUCAAUCUGAUUUUCCAGAAAAAGCUCUAAAUUACACAUCCAGGGUAUUCGUACCGAAAACGAACACACGUGAUCAAGGAGAAUAUCCUAAGGCUAGCGAGCUAACUACAGUUAAGGAACUCUGCAAAUUAACUCUGUAACUUAGGGAGAAAGAGUGCCCGAGAUAAUAUUUCGGGUCACAGUAAAGAAUGAGGGCGGACUGUUUAACAAAAACACAGCUAUAUGCAAAAUUCAAACAUGAAGUAUAUGUGGCGACACCUGCCCGGUGCCAGAAGGUCAAAGAAGGAGGUCAAGCCGAAAGGCUGCAGCUUUUAACUUAAGCCCUGGUGAACGGCGGCCGUAACUAUAACGGUCCUAAGGUAGCGAAAUUCCUUGUCAGGUAAAUUCUGUCCCGCUUGAAUGGUGUAACC
Molecule: ribosomal RNA, 1540 nt
Filed under: uncultured Mycoplasma sp.
Lineage: Bacteria; Bacillati; Mycoplasmatota; Mollicutes; Mycoplasmatales; Mycoplasmataceae
Description: partial 23S ribosomal RNA
Rfam family: Bacterial large subunit ribosomal RNA
Source: RNAcentral